Molecule: long non-coding RNA, 351 nt
Organism: Prosopis cineraria
Lineage: Eukaryota; Viridiplantae; Streptophyta; Magnoliopsida; Fabales; Fabaceae
Exons: 2
Source: RefSeq, a predicted model, not a curated record
GUGAGCUUCGGCAGAGAGAGCAUCUGUGAGCCAAAUUCACCGGUGCUGGGUUUUAAGGAGAAGAGCCAAGAGUGACACGUGGAGGAGUCCCAGAGGCUUAGUGGUAUAGAUCCACUGUCUCUUUUGGGUAUUUAAUUUAUGAUUUAUAAUGUGUUAUAUUGCCAAUAUUAGGACUUUUUUUAUGUUUAUUGUCAAUUAUAUGAAUAUAUAAAUGUAAUCAUGCCUUUCAAACUAUUUCUAUUUUUGGUACAAUUUGGAUGACUGUAAUUUUAAUAUUUGGUUUACUUUGGAUUGGUUAAAAUGGCAUGAUUAUAAGGCCAAAUAACUGGCUUGUGUUGAAAAUUGACUAAA